UACCGGCUGAAAUGCGUAGAGAUCUGGAGGAAUACCCGUGGCGAAUGCGGCCCUCUGGACCACAACUGACCCUCACGUGCGAAAGCGUGGGGAGCAAACAGGAUUACAUACCCUGCGUAGUCCACGCCGUAAACGAUGUCUACUUGCAGGUUGUGCCCUUGAUGCCUCCCUUCCUGAACUAACGCGUUUGCUCGACCCCCAGGGGAGUACCGCGGCGAGGCUGGGACUCUUAUGAAUUGACGGGGGCCCGCACAAGCGGUGGAGCUUGUGCGCUUUAAUUCCAUGCAACGCGUAGAACCCUCCGUAUUAGGGGCCCUUGCGGGA
This 324-nucleotide ribosomal RNA is filed under the name Enterobacter kobei. RNAcentral's name for it is "bacterial SSU rRNA". It matches the Rfam family "Bacterial small subunit ribosomal RNA", at positions 676 to 995 of the family's 1533-position model. The record is from RNAcentral. Lineage: Bacteria; Pseudomonadati; Pseudomonadota; Gammaproteobacteria; Enterobacterales; Enterobacteriaceae.